RNAcentral lists this ribosomal RNA (253 nucleotides) under uncultured bacterium. RNAcentral describes it as "partial 16S ribosomal RNA". It matches the Rfam family "Bacterial small subunit ribosomal RNA", at positions 524 to 776 of the family's 1533-position model. The record is from RNAcentral.
UACGUAGGGGGCAAGCGUUGUCCGGAUUUAUUGGGCGUAAAGAGCGUGUAGGUGGUUUGGUAGGUCCGUUGUGAAAACUCGAGGCUCAACCUCGAGACGCCGGCGGAAACCAUCAGGCUAGAGUCCGGAAGAGGAGAGUGGAAUUCCUGGUGUAGCGGUGAAAUGCGCAGAUAUCAGGAAGAACACCCGUGGCUAAGGCGGCUCUCUAGUACGGUACUGACGCUGAGACGCGAAAGCGUGGGGAGCGAACAGG